UGGGGCGUGGCCAAGCGGUAAGGCGCGGGCCUUUGGAGCCCGUAUUCGAAGGUUCGAAUCCUUCCGCCCCAACCA
This 75-nucleotide transfer RNA is filed under the name Acidobacteriota bacterium. RNAcentral's name for it is "Acidobacteria bacterium (wastewater metagenome) tRNA-Gln". It matches the Rfam family "tRNA". From Rfam's summary of the family: Transfer RNA (tRNA) molecules are approximately 80 nucleotides in length. Their secondary structure includes four short double-helical elements and three loops (D, anti-codon, and T loops). Further hydrogen bonds mediate the characteristic L-shaped molecular structure. tRNAs have two regions of fundamental functional importance: the anti-codon, which is responsible for specific mRNA codon recognition, and the 3' end, to which the tRNAs corresponding amino acid is attached (by aminoacyl-tRNA synthetases). tRNAs cope with the degeneracy of the genetic code in two manners: having more than one tRNA (with a specific anti-codon) for a particular amino acid; and 'wobble' base-pairing, i.e. permitting non-standard base-pairing at the 3rd anti-codon position. The record is from RNAcentral. Lineage: Bacteria; Pseudomonadati; Acidobacteriota. RNAcentral also lists the same sequence under 2 other names.